The sequence is a ribosomal RNA, 1590 nucleotides long. The stretch from base 672 to 1590 matches the Rfam family "Eukaryotic large subunit ribosomal RNA", at positions 1 to 938 of the family's 3401-position model.
CACACCGCCCGUCGCUACUACCGAUUGAAUGGCUCAGUGAGGCCUUCGGACUGGCCUGGGGAGGUUGGCAACGACCACCCUGGGCCGGAAAGUUCGUCAAACUCGGUCAUUUAGAGGAAGUAAAAGUCGUAACAAGGUUUCCGUAGGUGAACCUGCGGAAGGAUCAUUACGCAUAGUGAGAGCCGGAAGACAGUCCCCCUGUAGCAAAAAUUACGGGGGGUAGGACUCUUGCCCCGAGCAAUCGGGUUACCCUGCUUUUUGAGCACCAUUUGUUUCCUCGGCGGGCUUGCCCGCCAGUGGGGACCCCCUAAAACCUUUUGUAAUGAGAAGUAACCGUCAGUAAGAUAAAAAUUAUCACAACUUUCAACAAUGGAUCUCUUGGCUCUGGCAUCGAUGAAGAACGCAGCGAAAUGCGAUAAGUAGUGUGAAUUGCAGAAUUCCGUGAAUCAUCGAAUCUUUGAACGCACAUUGCGCCCCUCGGUAUUCCGUGGGGCAUGCCUGUUCGAGCGUCAUUUACACCCUCAAGCUCUGCUUGGUGUUGGGCGUCUGUCCCGCCUUGUGCGCGGACUCGCCUCAAAGCGAUUGGCGGCUAGAACUACGGCCUGGAGUGCAGCAGAAUUGCGCUCCUCGUCCGCGGUCUGGCUCCCAGAAGCAAACCUUUUUUACUUGUUUGACCUCGAAUCAGGUAGGGAUACCCGCUGAACUUAAGCAUAUCAAUAAGCGGAGGAAAAGAAACCAACAGGGAUUGCCCUAGUAACGGCGAGUGAAGCGGCAACAGCUCAAAUUUGAAAUCUGGCCCCUCCGGUGCCCGAGUUGUAAUUUGCAGAGGGUGCUUUGGUGUUGGCUGUGGUCCAAGUUCCCUGGAACAGGACGUCACAGAGGGUGAGAACCCCGUACGUGGCCGCCAGUCUUCGCCGUGUAAAGCCCCUUCGACGAGUCGAGUUGUUUGGGAAUGCAGCUCUAAAUGGGAGGUAAAUUCCUUCUAAAGCUAAAUAUUGGCCAGAGACCGAUAGCGCACAAGUAGAGUGAUCGAAAGAUGAAAAGCACUUUGGAAAGAGAGUGAAACAGCACGUGAAAUUGUUGAAAGGGAAGCGCUUGGAGCCAGACGUGCCCGUAGUUGCUCAGCCGGGGUUCUCCCCGGUGCACUCUUCUGCGGGCAGGCCAGCAUCAGUUUGGGCGGUUGGAUAAAGACCUGCUAAACGUACCUCCCCCCGGGGAGGACUUAUAGGGUAGGCGGCAUACAACCAGCCCGGACUGAGGACCGCGCAUCUGCUAGGAUGCUGGCGUAAUGGCUGUAAGCGGCCCGUCUUGAAACACGGACCAAGGAGUCUAACAUCUAUGCGAGUGUUUGGGUGUCAAGCCCGAGCGCGUAAUGAAAGUGAACGCAGGUGGGAGCCUUUCGGGGCGCACCAUCGACCGAUCCUGAUGUCUUCGGAAGGAUUUGAGUAAGAGCAUAGCUGUUGGGACCCGAAAGAUGGUGAACUAUGCCUGAAUAGGGUGAAGCCAGAGGAAACUCUGGUGGAGGCUCGCAGCGGUUCUGACGUGCAAAUCGAUCGUCAAAUUUGGGCAUAGGGGCGAAAGACUAAUCGA